CCCUUAGAUGUUCUGGGCCGCACGCGCGCUACACUGACGGAGGCAGCGAGCAUGUCCUUCGCCGAGAGGUGUGGGGAAUCUUGUGAGUCUCCGUCGUGCUGGGGAUAGAUGGUUGCAAUUGUCGAUCUUGAACGAGGAAUUCCUAGUAAGCGCGAGUCAUCAGCUCGCGCUGAUUACGUCCCUGCCCUUUGUACACACCGCCCGUCGCUACUACCGAUUGGAUGGCUUAGCGAGAAUUUUGGAUCGGAGCCCGGGUGGUCGGCAACGGUCGCCCGGGAGAUCUGAGAAAUCAUUCCAGCUUGGUCAUCUAGAGGAAGUAAAUGUCGUAACA
Molecule: ribosomal RNA, 331 nt
Filed under: uncultured eukaryote
Lineage: Eukaryota
Description: partial 18S ribosomal RNA
Rfam family: Eukaryotic small subunit ribosomal RNA
Source: RNAcentral